AGCCAGACUCCUACGGGAGGCAGCAGUGGGGGAUAUUGCACAAUGGGGGAAACCCUGAUGCAGCAACGCCGCGUGAGUGAAGAAGUAUUUCGGUAUGUAAAGCUCUAUCAGCAGGGAAGAAGAUGACGGUACCUGAUUAAGAAGCCCCGGCUAACUACGUGCCAGCAGCCGCGGUAAUACGUAGGGGGCAAGCGUUAUCCGGAUUUACUGGGUGUAAAGGGAGCGCAGACGGCAGUGCAAGUCUGGAGUGAAAGCCCGGGGCCCAACCCCGGGACUGCAUUUGAAACUGUCAGGCUGGAGUGCAGGAGAGGUAAGUGGAAUUCCUAGUGUAGCGGUGAAAUGCGUAGAUAUUAGGAGGAACACCAGUGGCGAAGGCGGCUUACUGGACUGUAACUGACGUUGAGGCUCGAAAGCGUGGGGAGCAAACAGGAUUAGAUACCCCGGUA
This 446-nucleotide ribosomal RNA is filed under the name uncultured bacterium. Its description in RNAcentral is "partial 16S ribosomal RNA". It matches the Rfam family "Bacterial small subunit ribosomal RNA", at positions 329 to 792 of the family's 1533-position model. The record is from RNAcentral.